AGCGAACGCUGGCGGCAGGCCUAACACAUGCAAGUCGAACGAACUCUCCGGAGUUAGUGGCGGACGGGUGAGUAACACGUGGGAACGUGCCUUUUGGUUCGGAAUAACUCAGGGAAACUUGUGCUAAUACCGAAUGUGCCCUUCGGGGGAAAGAUUUAUCGCCAUUAGAGCGGCCCGCGUCUGAUUAGCUAGUUGGUGAGGUAACGGCUCACCAAGGCGACGAUCAGUAGCUGGUCUGAGAGGAUGACCAGCCACACUGGGACUGAGACACGGCCCAGACUCCUACGGGAGGCAGCAGUGGGGAAUCUUGCGCAAUGGGCGAAAGCAUGACGCAGCCAUGCCGCGUGAAUGAUGAAGGUCUUAGGAUUGUAAAAUUCUUUCACCGGGGACGAUAAUGACGGUACCCGGAGAAGAAGCCCCGGCUAACUUCGUG
Molecule: ribosomal RNA, 433 nt
Filed under: uncultured bacterium
Lineage: Bacteria
Description: partial 16S ribosomal RNA
Rfam family: Bacterial small subunit ribosomal RNA
Source: RNAcentral